GGAUGUGAGGGGGAUCUGGCUGCGAUAUCUGUUACCCCAUUGGUUUCCAGGGUUCAUUCAGCAGAUCUGGCUGUCUAGAUGGUGUCCCCUUUUCCUUCACAGCAGCCUGUGUGUCCCUCCCAAAGCUGCCCACUCUGGCAAAGACAGGAGCCUUCCCUGAAUAGAGACAAACUAUUUUUCAGUCAAGGAGCAUAUGAAUAGCUGCUCUUCCCUGCUGGAACCUCCAAACGGGCUCUCAAAAAUGGAAUUUAUAACACUAAAUCUGGUGCUGGAGCCUGACCUAUGGGACCAAAGCCUUUUUUGUGGUGCAGUUCCAGGCUUUAAAUCACAUUCA
RNAcentral lists this small nuclear RNA (334 nucleotides) under Sorex araneus (European shrew). RNAcentral describes it as "7SK RNA (ENSSARG00000018086.1)". It matches the Rfam family "7SK RNA". Rfam says of the family: 7SK was discovered as an abundant small nuclear RNA in the mid-70s but a possible function has only recently been suggested. Two independent studies have found that 7SK RNA binds the CDK9/cyclin T complex (known as elongation factor P-TEFb). Lineage: Eukaryota; Metazoa; Chordata; Mammalia; Eulipotyphla; Soricidae. The record is from RNAcentral.